AAAUAUUUAUUGUUCUUUUAAUUUUCUCAAGAACGGAGUUCUAUCUUUGUUGAUAGAACUCCAAU
Ctenocephalides felis (cat flea) is the source of this 65-nucleotide small nuclear RNA. RefSeq annotates it as U7 small nuclear RNA. Lineage: Eukaryota; Metazoa; Arthropoda; Insecta; Siphonaptera; Pulicidae. The record is from RefSeq and is a predicted model, not a curated record. The transcript has a single exon.